This 685-nucleotide unclassified non-coding RNA is filed under the name Hevea brasiliensis (rubber tree). Lineage: Eukaryota; Viridiplantae; Streptophyta; Magnoliopsida; Malpighiales; Euphorbiaceae. The record is from RNAcentral.
AGCCCAUGGAUCCACUUGAGUUUGAUUCGAUUAGCUCAGCUCAUGGGUCAAGCUCAUUGGGGCUCAACCCUUGCUUUCAGGUCCAUUGACCUACGACUAUUGGGCCUUACUACUCUAAUAACAAUGUUUAGAAUUACGGACCUAGGAAUGUGAAUAUUAAAUCGGUAGGCUGCACAAACUGGACUCUCCAUCACCAAAAUGGCUAGUUUGGUUUGCCAAUUUUUUAUGUCUUUAAUUUUCUUGUACAUCGCUGAUUUGGGAAUUGUUCCCACAAGUGAUAUUCCAAUAGAGCUAAACUACCAUUAUCAACUUAAAUUUGGGAAUGGAAGUUGAUAAAUAUAGCAUAGCAUUCUUUAUGAUGCAUAGAGAAAUUGGUUGAUUAAUGUUGCUUCAAAGCUUAUUGCUAGAUAGUUUGUUUAGAGAGUUUAAAUACGUGCACAAAAACACAUAAAAGAAAUUAAGAAUAAAGAUCAUUUUUGCCUACCCAAACUUGUAAAUGGUGUCCAAAUACACCCAAAUUGAAAUUUAUGGUAAAUUUAGGAUGAUGCUUUCAAUUUAGGAUCAAUUUGCUCCAAUUGUUUUUGCCAAAAAUAUUAAAAUAAUAAUUUUAAAUAGUAAAAAAAUUAAUUUCAUUUCUUUCAAAUUAUUAAAAAUUUUCACCAUUUCAACUCAACUCAACUCAACU